GAGUCGGACCUGCCCAGUGAAAAUUUUUUCAACGGCCGCGGUACUCUGACCGUGCAAAGGUAGCAUAAUCAUUUGCCCUAUAAUUGAGGGCUAGUAUGAAUGGUUUGACGUGAACAAAACUGUCUCCAUGUAAUUUAUUAGAAUUUGAUUUCUAGGUGAAGAAACCUAGAUAUUAUUGAAAGACAAGAAGACCCUAUCGAGCUUUAAAAAAAUAAAUUGAAAAUAAUACUAUAAUUUUAGAUAUUAAUCAACUUUAAAUUUUGGUUGGGGCGACUAUGGAACAAAAAAAGCUUCUUUAUUAUUAAAUGAACUGUCAAGUUUUGAUCCAGAAAUUUUGAUUAAUGGAAAUAGUUACCGUAGGGAUAACAGCAUAAUUCUCUUUGAGAGCCCAAAUCGAAAAGAGAGUUUGUGACCUCGAUGUUGGACUAGAAUAUCCUAAAGAUGCAGCAGUCUUUAAGGGUUGGUC
RNAcentral lists this ribosomal RNA (466 nucleotides) under Chelycypraea testudinaria. RNAcentral describes it as "partial 16S large subunit ribosomal RNA". It matches the Rfam family "Bacterial large subunit ribosomal RNA", at positions 1850 to 2577 of the family's 2925-position model. Lineage: Eukaryota; Metazoa; Mollusca; Gastropoda; Littorinimorpha; Cypraeidae. The record is from RNAcentral.